Molecule: ribosomal RNA, 243 nt
Filed under: uncultured bacterium
Lineage: Bacteria
Description: partial 16S ribosomal RNA
Rfam family: Bacterial small subunit ribosomal RNA
Source: RNAcentral
GCAAGUCGAGCGCGAAAGUUCUUCGGAACGAGUAGAGCGGCGGACGGGUGAGUAACGCGUAGGAAUCUACCUGGUAGUGGGGGACAACUUGGGGAAACCCAAGCUAAUACCGCAUACGCCCCACGGGGGAAAGUGAGGGACCUUCGGGCCUCGCGCUAUCAGAUGAGCCUGCGUAGGAUUAGCUUGUUGGUGAGGUAAAGGCUCACCAAGGCGACGAUCCUUAGCUGGUCUGAGAGGAUGAUC